Molecule: ribosomal RNA, 1489 nt
Filed under: Lactiplantibacillus argentoratensis
Lineage: Bacteria; Bacillati; Bacillota; Bacilli; Lactobacillales; Lactobacillaceae
Description: bacterial SSU rRNA
Rfam family: Bacterial small subunit ribosomal RNA
Source: RNAcentral
GACGAACGCUGGCGGCGUGCCUAAUACAUGCAAGUCGAACGAACUCUGGUAUUGAUUGGUGCUUGCAUCAUGUUUUACAUUUGAGUGAGUGGCGAACUGGUGAGUAACACGUGGGAAACCUGCCCAGAAGAGGGGGAUAACACCUGGAAACAGAUGCUAAUACCGCAUAACAACUUGGACCGCAUGGUCCGAGUUUGAAAGAUGGCUUCGGCUAUCACUUUUGGAUGGUCCCGCGGCGUAUUAGCUAGAUGGUGAGGUAACGGCUCACCAUGGCAAUGAUACGUAGCCGACCUGAGAGGGUAAUCGGCCACAUUGGGACUGAGACACGGCCCAAACUCCUACGGGAGGCAGCAGUAGGGAAUCUUCCACAAUGGACGAAAGUCUGAUGGAGCAACGCCGCGUGAGUGAAGAAGGGUUUCGGCUCGUAAAACUCUGUUGUUAAAGAAGAACAUAUCUGAGAGUAACUGUUCAGGUAUUGACGGUAUUUAACCAGAAAGCCACGGCUAACUACGUGCCAGCAGCCGCGGUAAUACGUAGGUGGCAAGCGUUGUCCGGAUUUAUUGGGCGUAAAGCGAGCGCAGGCGGUUUUUUAAGUCUGAUGUGAAAGCCUUCGGCUCAACCGAAGAAGUGCAUCGGAAACUGGGAAACUUGAGUGCAGAAGAGGACAGUGGAACUCCAUGUGUAGCGGUGAAAUGCGUAGAUAUAUGGAAGAACACCAGUGGCGAAGGCGGCUGUCUGGUCUGUAACUGACGCUGAGGCUCGAAAGUAUGGGUAGCAAACAGGAUUAGAUACCCUGGUAGUCCAUACCGUAAACGAUGAAUGCUAAGUGUUGGAGGGUUUCCGCCCUUCAGUGCUGCAGCUAACGCAUUAAGCAUUCCGCCUGGGGAGUACGGCCGCAAGGCUGAAACUCAAAGGAAUUGACGGGGGCCCGCACAAGCGGUGGAGCAUGUGGUUUAAUUCGAAGCUACGCGAAGAACCUUACCAGGUCUUGACAUACUAUGCAAAUCUAAGAGAUUAGACGUUCCCUUCGGGGACAUGGAUACAGGUGGUGCAUGGUUGUCGUCAGCUCGUGUCGUGAGAUGUUGGGUUAAGUCCCGCAACGAGCGCAACCCUUAUUAUCAGUUGCCAGCAUUAAGUUGGGCACUCUGGUGAGACUGCCGGUGACAAACCGGAGGAAGGUGGGGAUGACGUCAAAUCAUCAUGCCCCUUAUGACCUGGGCUACACACGUGCUACAAUGGAUGGUACAACGAGUUGCGAACUCGCGAGAGUAAGCUAAUCUCUUAAAGCCAUUCUCAGUUCGGAUUGUAGGCUGCAACUCGCCUACAUGAAGUCGGAAUCGCUAGUAAUCGCGGAUCAGCAUGCCGUGGUGAAUACGUUCCCGGGCCUUGUACACACCGCCCGUCACACCAUGAGAGUUUGUAACACCCAAAGUCGGUGGGGUAACCUUUUAGGAACCAGCCGCCUAAGGUGGGACAGAUGAUUAGGGUG